Molecule: ribosomal RNA, 502 nt
Filed under: uncultured bacterium
Lineage: Bacteria
Description: partial 16S ribosomal RNA
Rfam family: Bacterial small subunit ribosomal RNA
Source: RNAcentral
AUUGAACGCUGGCGGCGUGCCUAACACAUGCAAGUCGAGCGGUAACAGGUGUAGCAAUACAUGCUGACGAGCGGCGAACGGGUGAGUAAUGCUUCGGAAUCUACCUUAUGGUGGGGAAUAACUAGCCGAAAGGUUAGCUAAUACCGCAUACGUCCUACGGGAGAAAGCAGGGGAUCGCAAGACCUUGCGCCAAAAGAUGAGCCGAAGUCGGAUUAGCUAGUUGGUAGGGUAACGGCCUACCAAGGCCACGGUCCGUAGCUGGUCUGAGAGGACGACCAGACAGACUGGGACAGAGACACGGCCCAGACUCCUACGGGAGGCAGCAGUGGGGAAUAUUGGACGAUGGGGGAAACCCUGAUUCAGCGACGCCGCGUGUGUGAAGAAGGCCUGCGGGUUGUAAAGCACUUUUAGUGGGGAUGAAAUGUGCAGGGUUAAUACCUCUGCAUUUUGACCUAACCCACAGAAAAAGCACCGGCUAACUCUGUGCCAGCCGCCGCCGUAA